CUACGGGAGACAUCAGUUAGGAAUAUUCGUCAAUGGAGGAACCUCUGAACGAGCAAUGCCGCGUGAAGGAUGCCGGUCCUAUGGAUUGUAAACUUCUGUUGUUAGGGAAGGACGACUUAAGUAGGAAAUGACUUAAGAGUGACGGUACCUUUCAAGAAAGCUCCGGCUAACUAC
RNAcentral lists this ribosomal RNA (174 nucleotides) under uncultured bacterium. RNAcentral describes it as "partial 16S ribosomal RNA". It matches the Rfam family "Bacterial small subunit ribosomal RNA", at positions 339 to 504 of the family's 1533-position model. The record is from RNAcentral.